This is a long non-coding RNA of Zonotrichia leucophrys gambelii, 324 nucleotides long. RefSeq lists it as uncharacterized. The transcript has 3 exons. The record is from RefSeq and is a predicted model, not a curated record. NCBI's taxonomy places the organism in Eukaryota, Metazoa, Chordata, Aves, Passeriformes, Passerellidae.
CAGGUGUCGUCAGCGCCUUCACCUUCCCCGUGCUCUACCGGCGCCACCAGGCCCAGAUCGAUCAAUACCUGAGCCUGGCCCGGGGCCACCUGAGCCACCUGCGAGCCAGGGUCCUGGCCAAGCUGCCAAGUGCCAAAGUGAAGCCGCAGUGACACCGCUGUCCCCGCUGUCCCCGCCCCGAGGUGACAAUGAGGAGGGGGGCGUGGCCAUGGGGAGGAGGCCACGCCCCAUUCGUGUCCUUUUAAUUUAAUUUAAUUUAAUUUAGUUUUAUUUUAUUUUAUUCCUGUCCUUCCAAUUUAAUAAAAACUCUUGUGACAAACCGGU